Molecule: long non-coding RNA, 553 nt
Filed under: Pan troglodytes (chimpanzee)
Lineage: Eukaryota; Metazoa; Chordata; Mammalia; Primates; Hominidae
Description: lincRNA
Source: RNAcentral
CUGAACUUGGCAGGAAAAUCAGUAGGAGUAAGUGGUGGAGGCAUGGGACUGGCAGAGAUACGGCAGCCCCUGUGGAGAGGCUGUCUACAGAUAACAUAACAAUAACCACAGGAUCUGCGGGGUUCCUGCAUGUGUGUUGGCUUCACUGGAGAAACUAAUCAAGUGGUGCAGUUUGGACGCAGAGACUGACACACAGGCAGAAUACCAUGUGAAGACUGGAGUUUUGCAUAGAGAAGCCAAGGAGCUACCAGAAGCUAGGAGAAUGGCCUGGAACAGACCUUUCCUUAGUGCCUUCAGAGAGAGCAUGGCGCUGCCAACAUCUUGAUCUCAGACUUCCAGCAUCCUGAAUUGUGAGAUAAAUUUCUGCUGUUUAAACCAUAUAAUUUGUGAUACUUUGCUAUGGCAACUGUCACAGCUAUUAUAAGCACCUAACCCUUUUUUUAAUCUUUUAAGAAACUUUUUGCUUUCAUCUACUUUUUUUGUUCUGGUUAUUCCAUAUUUUACUUUAAGAUUUAGUCUUCUGUCAAUAAAGCAAUAAUUUCAGAUCAAUUUC